This 205-nucleotide long non-coding RNA is filed under the name Elaeis guineensis (African oil palm). Its description in RNAcentral is "long non-coding RNA (EGUI_LNC046305)". The record is from RNAcentral. Lineage: Eukaryota; Viridiplantae; Streptophyta; Magnoliopsida; Arecales; Arecaceae.
CCAGGGUACCUUAUGUACAUGAAUCUAUAUUUUGGUUUGCUUCCUAACUUGGUUCUUUGAUCCUUGUAUGGGGUGUUCUGAAUAUGGUGAAGUAUUCAUGAAGAUUGUGAGUGAUCAAUAAGGGAUCAGUCACUCUUAAUAAGGAGAGUGAACAUCCUAUGUGAUCUCGUAGGUCGGUGAUUCUGGAAGUCUUUGGCUAAAGCAG